RNAcentral lists this long non-coding RNA (1361 nucleotides) under Mus pahari (shrew mouse). Its description in RNAcentral is "lncRNA (MGP_PahariEiJ_G0004254.1)". The record is from RNAcentral. Lineage: Eukaryota; Metazoa; Chordata; Mammalia; Rodentia; Muridae.
GUUUUCAGGCUUGGAAAGGUUGAAGGAGCAAUGACAGGUGUCCUGGGGCUCGAAUGACCGGCCGAGGCGGCAGAAGCCGGCCCGGUCGCUGUAGAGCUCUCUUGGAUGCAGUAGCAGCGCUCACUCAGCCUCUUCUGCCUCCCCCACAUCCACAUCGAGGGAAAUCCAACCCUUGGCUGAGGCCUGAAAGAAGACCUGCAUUCAUGCCACAGAGGGGAGGGCUGCCCAGCUGCCAAAAGGACAAGCCCAGUGGAGUCAUGGUCAGAUGUCCUUUCCUCUCUGCCCACCCUUUUGUUUCCAUUUCUUCUCUUCUUCUCUCCCUCUUUCCUCGAUGCCUUCUGUUUGUUUAUCUUUUGCUCUGUGUGUUUUUGAGACCAGCUCUCCCUUUGUAGCCUAUGCUCACCUGGAACUCCCUGUGUAGACCAUGGAAAUGCUUCUGACUCUGCCUUCUAAAUUCUUGGGAAGAUGGACUGCUGAGCUGCGGCACUUACUGCUAAGCCUGAAGACCUGAAUUCAGUCUCCGGAACUCACGUGGUAGGAGAGAAAGAACCAACUCCUGAAAGUUGUCCUCUGACCGCCACAUGUAAUGGGGACACAGGCAACUUGCCUAGUAGGCCCAUGUAUACAGCUGAGUGUUUGGACCAAUCAGGGCCAUUUGUUUGGGCCAAACCCCCAUCUUGCCUCUCAGCAUUGUGAAAUUCCUCUAGUAAGCCACCAGAGGGAGUGUUCCACCCCUGUCGAAGGUGGAAAUGAUUGCAGGGUCACCUAGAGUUCAUCAAGGCUUGGGAUAGUGAAAAUUCUGAUACCUCCAGGAGCUUCGGCAGGCGGCUGCAGUCUUUGUGUAGUUACCCCUGUCAGUGUUCUAGAUUGCUGAUUCUGGCACAGGAUGAUCUGAUGGCUGUGAGAUUUUUGCUCCAGGGAGUCAGGGAGAGCUGACGUAGUCAUGGAAACUGUCUCAAGCCUAAUGAUUUUGCUUAGUUACAGGAAAAUGAUCACUGGUAGGAGUGUUCACUUAUAAACACAUAGAACUUAUUAUUUUAACAAUAAGAGUGAUUUCUUUAAAAGAUUAUUUAUUUAUUUAUUUAUUUAUUUAUAUGAGUGCACCAUUGCUCUCUUCAGACAUACCAGAAAAGGGCAUCAGAUCUCAUUACAGAUGGUUGUGAGCCACCAUGUGGUUGCUGGGAAUUGAACUCAGGACCUCUGGAAGAACAGUCAGUGCUCUUAACCACUGAGCCAUCUCUCCAGCCCACUAAGGAUUAUUUUUAAAACAGACUGAAGAGAGUUCAUCACCUGCCCAGUGCCCCAGAGAGUUGAGCGCUCCUUAUAUGUGUCAGUAGGAAAUCAUCAAGACAUAUAGAGUG